AGGCGCUAAAUACUUAACGCUGUUACAAAACCAAAUGUGAAGUGUUUAACUAGUUCUAUAUACUAGUUUAAAUGUGUAAAAUAAAGAUUGAACUUUGUCGCUGGUGUUUAUUAUCGCUAUAAACAGAGUUCUGUCGGAAUUCAGAUUAUAAAUGAACCCAAAAAAAUCGCUUAGCUUAGCUUAGCUUUCCGUGGCUAGGUACACAGAGAGGCUAAGAGCGAUGGCGUUCCCGGAGCCCCGGCCUCAACCUGACCGACUUCCACAGCACUUGCUUCGGUCUUUAGACUGUCAACAAGCCGCUGUCAGAGCCGUCCGCUUCAAUGCUGAUGGGAAUUACCUGCUGACAUGUGGCAGUGAUAAAAGUCUGAAGUUAUGGAGUGUGAGCAGAGGAACCUUGUUAAAAACCUACAGUGGACAUGGAUAUGAAGUUCUGGACGCAGAUGGGUCGUAUGAUAACAGCCAUCUGUGCUCGUGCAGUGCUGAUAAAACGGUGAUCCUGUGGGACGUAGCGAGCGGACAGGUGAUCCGUAAAAUCCGCGGCCAUGCAGGGAAGGUGAACUGUGUGAGGUUUAAUGAAGAAUCCACUGUGAUGCUUUCAGGUUCUAUAGACGGUACGGUCAGGUGUUGGGAUACCCGCUCCAGGAGGAUGGAGCCCAUUCAGAUCCUGGACGAUGCGAAAGACGGCGUCAGCAGUCUAAGUGUAGUUGAGCAUGAACUGCUAACUGGGUCUGUAGAUGGUAGGGUGAGAAGAUAUGAUCUAAGAAUGGGGCAGCUACACGUUGACUACGUUGCCAGUCCGAUCACAUGUGUGUGUUUCAGUCAGGACGGUCAGUGCAGUCUGAGCUCCAGUCUGGACUCCACUGUUCGUCUACUGGAUAAGAGUACAGGAGAACUGCUGGGACAGUAUACAGGACACCAGAAUAAGGAUUAUAAGUUGGACUGCUGUCUGUCUGAGAGGGACACUCAUGUACUGAGCUGCUCUGAGGAUGGACACGUCUACUGCUGGGACCUGGUUGAGGGAUCACUGACACUAAAGCUUCCUGUGGGAAAAGCCGUCGUCCAAUCACUGUCCUUUCACCCCUCAGAGCCUCUCCUACUGACAGCUACUGAGGGGCGUGUACAGAUCUGGGGGGCAGAGCCUGAGGAGUCCGAUGUAGCUGAAUAAGUUAAAAAUGAGUGUGCGAGUGAAUGAAUAAAUGAGUGUGUGUGUGAGUGAAUGAUGCCCUGUGAUGGACUGCUGCUCUCUCUAUGAUGAAUUCCUUCACCAUGCAGUUUGCAGGACAGACUGUGGACCCACUGCAACCCUGAUCAGGAUUAAGUGUUUAAAUACACCCUGUAUUUUUUGAAAAUUGUAAAUAAUUUUAGAUAAGAAUAUAAACACAUUUAGUUUUAUUUUGUUGGAACAAAGAAAGUCUAAAAUAAAUGUAAAAGAUAUGGAAGUAUAAAAAUGAUUUAUUAACAGUGUACACAGCACAAAGCAAGAAUAAAUAACACUGUAACAAUAAAUAAAUAAUUUAUAGGACAUAAAUAUCUAUUCAGCUUACUAGGAAUGUUCUGAUCUGAUCAUGCUGAUGAUUAUGGAUGAGAAACUUACAGGAGCUGAAGUAGGACAGAAUGCUGAUAUUAAAGCUGCAGUGUGUAGAAUUUACUACUUUUAUUAUAAAAUAUUUAUUAAAGCUUUUUUACUGUACCUGAGAAAUGCAGAAUGGGGCUGAUAAAGCAGGACUUAUUUACAUAUGAUUAUAUACAGUUACAAUUACAAUUUUUAAAAUUAUUAUAAGAAAAUAUAAUAUAUAAUGAAAAUGAUAAUUAGAAAAUGAUGCCCUAAAGAAUCACAUACAGGGCAUGAAUUAACGGUUUCCCCAGAAGAGCUAAUGCUACAAUUAAUAAUAUACUCCUAAACUCUUUAAAUUAAUUCAAUCAGUCAUUUAGUUCACAUAUUUAUAAUAAAAUUUUAGUAGGAUUACACUAGGAGUAAAGUUCUACCCACUGCAGCUUUGUGUCACACACCAAAGAUUGAAUAUAUUUAGCUCGGUUACAAUGAAUAUGUGAAUAUUGGAUCAGUAUCAGUGUCGACCCACAUUCAGAGCUCUGUGAUCAGCACUCUAUUGGAAUAAAAAUGGACACGAUGCAUCUUCUGGUCUGGACCAUGCAAUCCUUCAACCAUGUCAUACAGCAUUCACAGCUAAAUCCAAACUUUUUAGCUUAGAGUCGUUAAACAGUCACUUGAUUGCUGACACGAAUCACCUGGUUUUAUAUACAGCCUGAGCAAGAUUAUUUGUCACUGUUUGCAGAAGAAAAUGAGUUUAGAUGUUCAGCCCAUGCAGGAGCAGGAUGCGGCGGAGAGCUUCUCCACUUUGUGCCAGUGGUGGGAGUUGUCGAGGAAAGCCAUGUCCUCCAGACGUGUGGGGCGGCAGCACGGUGCUUGUUGCCAGGGCACGGCGGGUGGCAGGGCGCCACUCAUGCCCAGGUUGAUAAGGGUCAGGUCAUGGUUAGUGGGCACACUUGGGCAUGAACCGCUGCAAUACUUAAACACUACCAUCUCAUCCGAGUCGUAACCCAAACCCAGAUCUCGUACCUAUGAGUGGGUACCUGCAGUAGGAUGGAAUGCAGAGCACAUGAGGCAUCAGCACUGCGGCGUGAUCGUACUGCUCGUCCAGCCCAUCCUCUCCCAGAUCCUUCAUGUUCCUCCUGUUCUCCACCUCCUCCUGUCUUCAUCUCCUCGAGGAGUUUUGACUCUGAAGAACCAUUAUGUUCUUGAGUGUCCGAUGCUAAAACAGUGUCCAAUGCAGAAACAGACGCAAUUACAAGCAGGCAGCUUGGUAGCAUUCAUCACACACACGUGUGGUGUAUCAAAGUUUGACUUUUGAGCUUUAUUGUGAUGAGUAAAAUCCCUGACAUGAAAAUCUUAAAA
Molecule: RNA transcript, 2914 nt
Organism: Trichomycterus rosablanca
Lineage: Eukaryota; Metazoa; Chordata; Actinopteri; Siluriformes; Trichomycteridae
Gene: wdr83
Gene name: WD repeat domain containing 83
Exons: 11
Source: RefSeq, a predicted model, not a curated record